This 893-nucleotide long non-coding RNA is filed under the name Malus domestica (apple). RNAcentral's name for it is "long non-coding RNA (MDOM_LNC000439)". The record is from RNAcentral. Lineage: Eukaryota; Viridiplantae; Streptophyta; Magnoliopsida; Rosales; Rosaceae.
CUCCACCAGAGAUUAUCUCUCAAUUUCGAGAUGACGCCACAUGUCACCUUACAUAGUAAACCGAUCCUAUAUCGUCACCUCUAUAAAUAACUAAGUCAUUCAUGGAACUGGUAAUUAAUUAUGAACAAGCUAUUUAGUUUCUCUUAAAUAUCUUUCCGAUUUAAGCAUUUGACAUCCAUUAGCAAACACCAUAUCAAUGUAAUUCAAUUGAUUCUUCAACUCUUCACACAUAGAUCUAAACGAGUAAUCACACAGAAACAGAAACUAAAAAGAAAAAACCCUCGUAAAGAGUUUUCUAGAAAUAAUUAAACAUAAUAAAAGUAAAAAGACAAAAUAGUUGUACCACUCCAUUUCUUCCCAACAUGCUGGAGAGAGAGCUACAUCAUCGACUUGGCUAAACCCAUUAAUUGUAUCGUAUAGUUUAAAACCAAACCAGAUAUAAUACUUUAGCGUGAGACCUAUUGGAUUAGGGGUAUAAUUAUGUUUCCUAGUUGGGUUAGAACUCCUUUGAUAUUACAUCUGUUAAGUCGUAUCAUAUAUAUAUGGCCUCCUAGAAGGAGAAGAAUAAAUCAGUCUUAAAUCCUAAAAUAAGUUUUAACUUGGCAUUAGAGUCGGGUUAUUCGGCAUAGUAUCGUUCUCCAGAUAUUCUAACCAAACUCCUAGCAUCUGUGUUAUGUCCCGAGACAAGGGACUUACGCGGGCAAAAUCCAGCAACCAAAUGCAACCUUGCUGCCGACUUAGAGUUCUUGUUGGCCGGAAAAUAGCAAUUUGCAAUACAACUAAAGUGUGAUCUCGAAACAAGAGAAUCACACUUGAACUUAAAUUUAGAAACUUAAAUCGUACAACCACACAACCGCUGCCUUCAAUAGUUGAAAGCCAUGCCAUGAUUCGUA